Molecule: ribosomal RNA, 479 nt
Filed under: uncultured bacterium
Lineage: Bacteria
Description: bacterial SSU rRNA
Rfam family: Bacterial small subunit ribosomal RNA
Source: RNAcentral
AUUGAACGCUGGCGGCGUGCCUAACACAUGCAAGUCGAGCGGUAACAGGUGUAGCAAUACAUGCUGACGAGCGGCGGACGGGUGAGUAACGCUUGGGAAUCUGCCUAUUAGUGGGGGACAACCCGGGGGAAACGUCGGGCUAAUACCGCAUACGCACUACGGUGGAAAGCCGGGGACCGCAAGGCCUGGCGCUAACAGAUGAGCCCAAGUCGGAUUAGCUAGUUGGUAGGGUAACGGCCUACCAAGGCGACGAUCCGUAACUGGUCUGAGAGGACGACCAGUCACACCGGAACUGAGACACGGUCCGGACUCCUACGGGAGGCAGCAGUGGGGAAUAUUGGACAAUGGGCGAAAGCCUGAUCCAGCGACGCCGCGUGGGUGAAGAAGGCCUGCGGGUUGUAAAGCCCUUUCAGUGGGGAAGAAAAGCCUCGAGUUAACACCUCGGGGUCUUGACGUAACCCAUAGAAGAAGCACCGGCU